This 548-nucleotide ribosomal RNA is filed under the name uncultured bacterium. RNAcentral describes it as "partial 16S ribosomal RNA". It matches the Rfam family "Bacterial small subunit ribosomal RNA", at positions 355 to 896 of the family's 1533-position model. The record is from RNAcentral.
UAGGGAAUCUUCGGCAAUGGGGGCAACCCUGACCGAGCAACGCCGCGUGAGUGAAGAAGGUUUUCGGAUCGUAAAGCUCUGUUGUAAGUCAAGAACGAGUGUGAGAGUGGAAAGUUCACACUGUGACGGUAGCUUACCAGAAAGGGACGGCUAACUACGUGCCAGCAGCCGCGGUAAUACGUAGGUCCCGAGCGUUGUCCGGAUUUAUUGGGCGUAAAGCGAGCGCAGGCGGUUUGAUAAGUCUGAAGUUAAAGGCUGUGGCUCAACCAUAGUUCGCUUUGGAAACUGUCAAACUUGAGUGCAGAAGGGGAGAGUGGAAUUCCAUGUGUAGCGGUGAAAUGCGUAGAUAUAUGGAGGAACACCGGUGGCGAAAGCGGCUCUCUGGUCUGUAACUGACGCUGAGGCUCGAAAGCGUGGGGAGCGAACAGGANUAGAUACCCUGGUAGUCCACGCCGUNNCGAUGAGUGCUAGGUGNUGNAUCCUUUCCGGGANUCANUGNCNCAGCUAACNCNNUANCACUCCNCCNGGGGAGUACNANCNCAAGGUUG